This is a long non-coding RNA of Trachemys scripta elegans, 645 nucleotides long. RefSeq lists it as uncharacterized. Lineage: Eukaryota; Metazoa; Chordata; Testudines; Emydidae. The record is from RefSeq and is a predicted model, not a curated record. The transcript is spliced from 3 exons.
CUCACAGGAACAAAGGACACUGCCUAGGCAGCGACAAAGGAUCUGUUGGACUCUCGAUCUGUGACAGGGUGUACCAGGCAUUCACUGACCCCUGCUGGAAGCCCCACUCUCUUUUCACACCCUGCCCUAAGAAAGUGUUCUGCUGGAAGAGAAAAGCAGCAAGUUCAGACAUCAAGGGGAUGCACAGACGCCCUCCCUGGCAGGCGGCAGACCAUUGUGGAACCAGGACACAGGGGGGCGCUAGAGAGGAAGAGUCCCUGCGAUGCUGUGCCCUGACACAACUGGGCGCUCUGGUGUAACAAAAAGCCCACCACCAACACACACAAAAAAUCAAUGCCAGUAAUCCAAUCCCAUGCAAGCAGCCCUACAAUAACCAGCCAGUGUACCAGGAGACAAAAUAACUCCACUAAGGAAACAGAUUUCACUGUCAAGACAACAAGGGGAAAAAAUUGUCAAAGUUCUAAGAAGUGUCUUUCAAAACAUCCUCUAGAUGCUGCUAGCCAUUUCCCUUCCUCUGCCUUGUUAUGGCUGUGGCAGGCAUCUCUGUGUACAGAUGACAGUUUUGACAUACAUAGCAUAUGUUGAAAUAUAGGCAUAUACAGGUUAGCUUUAAGAGAUGUUCAUCCCAAGUGUAACUCCAUCAAC